RNAcentral lists this ribosomal RNA (2906 nucleotides) under Klebsiella oxytoca. RNAcentral describes it as "23S ribosomal RNA". It matches the Rfam family "Bacterial large subunit ribosomal RNA". Lineage: Bacteria; Pseudomonadati; Pseudomonadota; Gammaproteobacteria; Enterobacterales; Enterobacteriaceae. The record is from RNAcentral.
GGUUAAGCGACUAAGCGUACACGGUGGAUGCCCUGGCAGUCAGAGGCGAUGAAGGACGUGCUAAUCUGCGAAAAGCGUCGGUAAGGUGAUAUGAACCGUUAUAACCGGCGAUGUCCGAAUGGGGAAACCCAGUGCAAUUCGUUGCACUAUCGUUAACUGAAUACAUAGGUUAACGAGGCGAACCGGGGGAACUGAAACAUCUAAGUACCCCGAGGAAAAGAAAUCAACCGAGAUUCCCCCAGUAGCGGCGAGCGAACGGGGAGCAGCCCGGAGUCUGAAUCAGCUUGUGUGUUAGUGGAAGCGUCUGGAAAGUCGCAGGGUACAGGGUGAUACUCCCGUACACUAAAACACACAGGCUGUGAACUCGAAGAGUAGGGCGGGACACGUGGUAUCCUGUCUGAAUAUGGGGGGACCAUCCUCCAAGGCUAAAUACUCCUGACUGACCGAUAGUGAACCAGUACCGUGAGGGAAAGGCGAAAAGAACCCCGGCGAGGGGAGUGAAAAAGAACCUGAAACCGUGUACGUACAAGCAGUAGGAGCCCACUAGUUGGGUGACUGCGUACCUUUUGUAUAAUGGGUCAGCGACUUAUAUUCUGUAGCAAGGUUAACCGUAUAGGGGAGCCGCAGGGAAACCGAGUCUUAACUGGGCGUUAAGUUGCAGGGUAUAGACCCGAAACCCGGUGAUCUAGCCAUGGGCAGGUUGAAGGUUGGGUAACACUAACUGGAGGACCGAACCGACUAAUGUUGAAAAAUUAGCGGAUGACUUGUGGCUGGGGGUGAAAGGCCAAUCAAACCGGGAGAUAGCUGGUUCUCCCCGAAAGCUAUUUAGGUAGCGCCUCGUGAACUCAUCUUCGGGGGUAGAGCACUGUUUCGGCUAGGGGGUCAUCCCGACUUACCAACCCGAUGCAAACUACGAAUACCGAAGAAUGUUAUCACGGGAGACACACGGCGGGUGCUAACGUCCGUCGUGAAGAGGGAAACAACCCAGACCGCCAGCUAAGGUCCCAAAGUCAUGGUUAAGUGGGAAACGAUGUGGGAAGGCCCAGACAGCCAGGAUGUUGGCUUAGAAGCAGCCAUCAUUUAAAGAAAGCGUAAUAGCUCACUGGUCGAGUCGGCCUGCGCGGAAGAUGUAACGGGGCUAAACCAUGCACCGAAGCUGCGGCAGCGACACUAUGUGUUGUUGGGUAGGGGAGCGUUCUGUAAGCCGUUGAAGGUGGCCUGUGAGGGUUGCUGGAGGUAUCAGAAGUGCGAAUGCUGACAUAAGUAACGAUAAUGCGGGUGAAAAACCCGCACGCCGGAAGACCAAGGGUUCCUGUCCAACGUUAAUCGGGGCAGGGUGAGUCGACCCCUAAGGCGAGGCCGAAAGGCGUAGUCGAUGGGAAACAGGUUAAUAUUCCUGUACUUGGUGUUACUGCGAAGGGGGGACGGAGAAGGCUAUGUUGGCCGGGCGACGGUUGUCCCGGUUUAAGCAUGUAGGCGGAUGUUCCAGGUAAAUCCGGAACGUCACUAACGCUGAGGUGUGAUGACGAGGCACUACGGUGCUGAAGUGACAAAUGCCCUGCUUCCAGGAAAAGCCUCUAAGCAUCAGGUAACAUCAAAUCGUACCCCAAACCGACACAGGUGGUCAGGUAGAGAAUACCAAGGCGCUUGAGAGAACUCGGGUGAAGGAACUAGGCAAAAUGGUGCCGUAACUUCGGGAGAAGGCACGCUGAUGGUAAGUGAAGUGACUUGCUCAUGGAGCUGAAAUCAGUCGAAGAUACCAGCUGGCUGCAACUGUUUAUUAAAAACACAGCACUGUGCAAACACGAAAGUGGACGUAUACGGUGUGACGCCUGCCCGGUGCCGGAAGGUUAAUUGAUGGGGUUAUCCUCACGGAGAAGCUCUUGAUCGAAGCCCCGGUAAACGGCGGCCGUAACUAUAACGGUCCUAAGGUAGCGAAAUUCCUUGUCGGGUAAGUUCCGACCUGCACGAAUGGCGUAAUGAUGGCCAGGCUGUCUCCACCCGAGACUCAGUGAAAUUGAACUCGCUGUGAAGAUGCAGUGUACCCGCGGCAAGACGGAAAGACCCCGUGAACCUUUACUAUAGCUUGACACUGAACACUGGUCCUUGAUGUGUAGGAUAGGUGGGAGGCUUUGAAGUGUGGACGCCAGUCUGCAUGGAGCCAUCCUUGAAAUACCACCCUUUAAUGGCUGGUGUUCUAACGUGGGCCCCUAAUCGGGGUUGCGGACAGUGUCUGGUGGGUAGUUUGACUGGGGCGGUCUCCUCCUAAAGAGUAACGGAGGAGCACGAAGGUCAGCUAAUCCUGGUCGGACAUCAGGAGGUUAGUGCAAUGGCAUAAGCUGGCUUGACUGCGAGCGUGACGGCGCGAGCAGGUGCGAAAGCAGGUCAUAGUGAUCCGGUGGUUCUGAAUGGAAGGGCCAUCGCUCAACGGAUAAAAGGUACUCCGGGGAUAACAGGCUGAUACCGCCCAAGAGUUCAUAUCGACGGCGGUGUUUGGCACCUCGAUGUCGGCUCAUCACAUCCUGGGGCUGAAGUAGGUCCCAAGGGUAUGGCUGUUCGCCAUUUAAAGUGGUACGCGAGCUGGGUUUAGAACGUCGUGAGACAGUUCGGUCCCUAUCUGCCGUGGGCGCUGGAGAAUUGAGGGGGGCUGCUCCUAGUACGAGAGGACCGGAGUGGACGCAUCACUGGUGUUCGGGUUGUCAUGCCAAUGGCAUUGCCCGGUAGCUAAAUGCGGAAGAGAUAAGUGCUGAAAGCAUCUAAGCACGAAACUUGCCCCGAGAUGAGUUCUCCCUGACUCCUUGAGAGUCCUGAAGGAACGUUGAAGACGACGACGUUGAUAGGCCGGGUGUGUAAGCGCAGCGAUGCGUUGAGCUAACCGGUACUAAUGAACCGUGAGGCUUAACCUU